This is a small nuclear RNA of Sciurus carolinensis (gray squirrel), 107 nucleotides long. Lineage: Eukaryota; Metazoa; Chordata; Mammalia; Rodentia; Sciuridae. The record is from RefSeq and is a predicted model, not a curated record.
GUGCUCGCUUCGGCAGCACAUAUACUAAAAUUGGAAUGAUACAGAGAAGAUUAGCAUGGCCCCUGCGCAAGGAUGACGUAGGGAUACAUAACGAGAUAUUCACCUUC